RNAcentral lists this ribosomal RNA (253 nucleotides) under uncultured bacterium. RNAcentral describes it as "partial 16S ribosomal RNA". It matches the Rfam family "Bacterial small subunit ribosomal RNA", at positions 524 to 776 of the family's 1533-position model. The record is from RNAcentral.
GACAGAGGGGGCAAGCGUUGCUCGGAAUUACUGGGCGUAAAGGGCGCGUAGGCGGGAUGGCAAGUCGGUCGUGAAAUCCUUCGGCUCAACCGAAGAACGUCGAUCGAUACUGCUGUUCUUGAGGGUUGCAGAGGAGACUGGAAUUCCCGGUGUAGCGGUGAAAUGCGUAGAUAUCGGAAGGAACACCUGUGGCGAAAGCGGCUCACUGGACCAUAACUGACGCUGAGGCGCGAAAGCUAGGGGAGCAAACAGG